GGAUAAUCUACCCUUAAGUNUGGGAUAACCUUGGGAAACUGAGGCUAAUACCGGAUUGGAAAAUAAUUCUGGAACGAUUAUUAUCCGAAAGGCAACGCUUAAGGAUGAGUCGGCGGCGGAUUAGGCUGUUGGCGAGGUAAUGGCUCACCAAACCGAAGAUCCGUAGGGGCUCUGAGAGGAGUAGCCCCGAGAAGGGCACUGAGAUACUGGCCCUAGCCCUACGGGGUGCAGCAGGCGCGAAACCUUUGCAAUGCACGAAAGUGUGACAAGGGAACCCAGAGUGCUAUACUUAGUAUGGCUUUUGCCAAGAGCAAAUAUCUUGGAGAAUAAGUGGUGGGCAAGACUGGUGCCAACCGCCGCGGUAACACCAGCUCCACAAGUGGGGAUCACAUUUAUUUGGCCUAAAGCGUCCGUAGCCGGUUUUGUAAAUCUUUUGUGAAAUUGUUAGGCUCAACCUAACAGCGUGCAGGGGACACUGCAGAACUAGGGACCGGGAAGGGCAAGGGGUAUGUUGAGGGGAGCGGUAAAAUGCAAUAAUCCUCGAUAGACCACCUGUGGCGUAGGCGCCUUGCUAGAACGGGUCCGACGGUGAGGGACGAAAGCCAGGGGAGCAAACCGGAUUAGAUACCCGGGUAGUCCCAGCCGUAAACGAUGCUCGCUAGGUGUCAGGCAUGGCGCGACCGUGUCUGGUGCCGCAGGGAAGCCGUGAAGCGAGCCACCCGGGAAGUACGGCCGCAAGGCUGAAACUUAA
This 751-nucleotide ribosomal RNA is filed under the name uncultured archaeon. RNAcentral's name for it is "bacterial SSU rRNA". It matches the Rfam family "Archaeal small subunit ribosomal RNA", at positions 102 to 859 of the family's 1478-position model. The record is from RNAcentral.